RNAcentral lists this ribosomal RNA (294 nucleotides) under uncultured microorganism. RNAcentral's name for it is "partial 16S ribosomal RNA". It matches the Rfam family "Bacterial small subunit ribosomal RNA", at positions 505 to 796 of the family's 1533-position model. The record is from RNAcentral.
GUGCCAGCAGCCGCGGUAAUACGGAGGGUGCAAGCGUUAAUCGGAAUUACUGGGCGUAAAGCGCACGCAGGCGGUUUGUUAAGUCAGAUGUGAAAUCCCCGGGCUCAACCUGGGAACUGCAUCUGAUACUGGCAAGCUUGAGUCUCGUAGAGGGGGGUAGAAUUCCAGGUGUAGCGGUGAAAUGCGUAGAGAUCUGGAGGAAUACCGGUGGCGAAGGCGGCCCCCUGGACCGAAGACUGACGCUCAGGUGCGAAAGCGUGGGGAGCAAACAGGAUUAGAUACCCCUGGUAGUCC